Small nucleolar RNA from Tachyglossus aculeatus (Australian echidna), 138 nucleotides. Lineage: Eukaryota; Metazoa; Chordata; Mammalia; Monotremata; Tachyglossidae. The record is from RefSeq and is a predicted model, not a curated record.
CCCCUCUCAUGGUCGCACCUGGAGAGUUUCCAGUACUCUAUCAGUAUCGGCUAAGGGAGGCAAAGCCAAGCAGAGCCCUACCCAUUCAAUUCCUAGCUUGGGCAAUGGCUAGCGGGUGGAAGGCAAUCUGCUACAAGU